This 73-nucleotide transfer RNA is filed under the name Camelus bactrianus (Bactrian camel). It matches the Rfam family "tRNA". Rfam says of the family: Transfer RNA (tRNA) molecules are approximately 80 nucleotides in length. RNAcentral also lists the same sequence under 3 other names. The record is from Rfam by way of RNAcentral. Lineage: Eukaryota; Metazoa; Chordata; Mammalia; Artiodactyla; Camelidae.
AAGGGUAUAGCUCAAGUGGUAGAGCACAUGCUUAGCAUGCACGAGGUCCUGGAUUCAAUCCCCAGUAUCUCCU